GCUGACCACAUGGUAACAUACUUAGAAUUGCAGUACUAUAGUAUCUGUUCAAUUCAAUUAUUUCCAUAGCUGAUAACUUCUUUUGGCAGGUGGGUAAUGUAUAUUUCCAUCAGCUGCACAUGGUAUUCUUCCAUCUGUGUUAACCAACUUUAGACAAUUUUAUUUGUUUUUUCUUACAAAGAGAAUGCUGAUGGAGAUAUUUAACUGUUACAUAUUCAGCACUACCGCCACUCCUGGAACGAGAGUGCAGUGCUGGAUAAUCAAAGAAAUAAACUCAAGAAGCUAGUACUUACAAAGUAUUAAUAGACCAAACGCUGUAGUUUGGCUUCAGAAAACAAGCUCAAAACAAGAGAAAUCUCUGCCUUAUUUAUGAAAGUGGGGAUCGUUGCUCUUCUAUUCCAAAUCCUUAACACAUAUUCCUUCUUUCUCAUUUUCCUUGUUUUCCUUGUUUCUUGCUUAUAUCAAGCCUUUGAGCCCCUCAGAAAUGGAGAUUUGUAUCCCUUGACAAGGAGCAGUCUGGCCAUGGAGGUCUUAAUCUUUCAAUAUGAUGCAGCCCUUAUGCAAAUCCACUUGUGGAAAUGCCAUACCUGUAAUUUUGAAACAAAAAAUAUCUCACAAGCCCUUCUUUUGGGGUGAGAAAUAUAUGUUACCUUGUGAAAAAAGCAGAGAAGAAAUGGUGGAGUAGGCUGUUAAAGCAGGAAGGGAAGCCUCCUGUGUUUUUGAAAGUAGACUGGGACAAAUGGGUCGAUGAAGAUGAAGAGCAAGAACACAAAUCGAGCAGUCUCAAAGAGUAAGAUUUUCUGAGGCAGUGGUAGUUACCAAUGCCAGUAGUAGAAUAAUCUUUGUGGCACUUCUCAUUACAUGGUUUGGUCUUUUUUCCUGACAACCAACUCGUGCUAGAGAGAUUCAAAGGAACUAUGUCCUUGUACAUGCAGCAACACAUAUAGGAGAUCCAUUGUUCAUCUCUUGCAUUGUGCAGUAGAUGGCUGUAUCUCAAAAGAUGAUACCCAUCAGAUGGUAGCCAUACCUGAUGCAAGCAUUCUGACGAAUGAUGUGAAUGGUCAUGUCAUGUUGUAUUGCUUCAAAAACUUUAAGGAAUAUACUAAGAGGGUUGUCACACAAGUUCUGUAUAUCUCUUACAAUCCAACACAGGCUUGGAUAGAAGGUGUGCAAUAUCUAAGCUCUCCAUCAGGUGGUUCCACACUUCUUGAUGCCACGGUCCAAAAAUCAGGUAAGUCCACUCCAUGUAAGGAUCACCAAAAGCAAGGGCCCCACACCCUUGGCUUAUUAUUUUUAUUUUUAUUUUUCUUACCAAUCUUCAUUGCUUCAAUAUAACGAACGGUUUCCAUAAUGUUUGACUUGUAUUAUGUAUUUAUCUUUGGUUGUAAGAUGCUUAUUCAAAGUGAAGUAACUAUAUAGAGUGUAGGCUCAGGGGUCCACAAUGCUUACAUGGAUGCAUGAUCAAAGCUGCUCAUCAGGUGAAGCAUUGGUAAUAGAGGGGGGCUUUGCUGCUUCAUAUGGGGAUGGAUAUGGACUUUAUUUGGGUGGUGCUGACAAAGGUCCUUUAUAUGGCAUGAGUUCUGGUUCUUGGGGUGCAUUUGAGAAGUCUUGCCUCGGGCAUCGCUGAAGUCCGUUGAUUAUUUUUUUUUCCUUCUGCUUUUCCUUGUGUCUCAAUUUGUAAAUUUUUUGUCCAUUAUGUAGCCUUUCAUUCUCACGUCUCUUGUAAAUGAGGUUGGUUGUAAAUGAUUUACAGGUUAUGUUUGAAUGCUAAUUUAAG
Magnolia sinica is the source of this 1777-nucleotide long non-coding RNA. RefSeq lists it as uncharacterized. The transcript is spliced from 8 exons. Lineage: Eukaryota; Viridiplantae; Streptophyta; Magnoliopsida; Magnoliales; Magnoliaceae. The record is from RefSeq and is a predicted model, not a curated record.